CCUCUUCCCCCUUGGGACGCAAACCCCUAUAUUCAAUUUGCCGUCGCUUGCGGCGGCUAUGGCGAUAAACGGACACCGCAAUAAACCAUUCGGACCCGGGGGCGGUACCCGGCGCCUCCACCAAAGCCCGUCGGCGCGGCGGGCUUCGGCGGGGGCGAAAUAGGAUCGACGAGGGCGUAAAGGGUGAUUUUUCGCUCGGCAUGAUACCGCCGUUAUCGGGUCAAACCUUAUAGUUGCCAACGACAACUAUGCUCCGGUGGCCGUCGCUG
This 269-nucleotide transfer-messenger RNA is filed under the name Alphaproteobacteria bacterium. Its description in RNAcentral is "partial transfer-messenger RNA". It matches the Rfam family "Alphaproteobacteria transfer-messenger RNA", at positions 1 to 265 of the family's 355-position model. Rfam says of the family: Bacterial tmRNA, also known as 10Sa RNA or SsrA, is named for its dual tRNA and mRNA-like properties. Its role is to liberate the mRNA from a stalled ribosome. Lineage: Bacteria; Pseudomonadati; Pseudomonadota; Alphaproteobacteria. The record is from RNAcentral.